AAUCAAAGAAUACUCUCUCCAUUGGUAGGAGGUAUUUUGGGGAAGCUAAAAGCAAAAUCAUGAGCUUAUGCUCAAAGUGAACAAUAUCAUACCAUUACAAAAGUCAUGGUUCCUAACACGAUAUCAAAGUCAUGCCCUAACUUAGUCAUGUCAAUGCAAUCGUCAAAUGUCGAACAAAGAAGUUGUGAGCCUCGAAUGUGUAGACAAAAGUGUCAAACAAAUAGUGUACUUUGUUCGAAGGCUCUAGAGAAAGAGUCAAGCCUUGAUUAAAGGAGGCUAUUCGAGGGCUCCAUAGACUUGAGUAGAGGCUUUGUGGUAUACUUUGUUUGAGGAGGGAUUGUUAGGUAAGGAGUUCUACAUCGGCUAAUUAAGGGGUUGAACAUGAGUUUAUAACGAAUACAUCU
Long non-coding RNA from Cucurbita maxima (winter squash), 404 nucleotides. RefSeq lists it as uncharacterized. The transcript has 3 exons. NCBI's taxonomy places the organism in Eukaryota, Viridiplantae, Streptophyta, Magnoliopsida, Cucurbitales, Cucurbitaceae. The record is from RefSeq and is a predicted model, not a curated record.